AGUCGAACGCAGCACGGGCUUCGGCCUGGUGGCGAGUGGCGAACGGGUGAGUAAUACAUCGGAACGUACCCAGAAGUGGGGGAUAACGUAGCGAAAGUUACGCUAAUACCGCAUACGUUCUACGGAAGAAAGUGGGGGAUCGCAAGACCUCAUGCUUUUGGAGCGGCCGAUGUCUGAUUAGCUAGUUGGUGAGGUAAAGGCUCACCAAGGCGACGAUCAGUAGCUGGUCUGAGAGGACGACCAGCCACACUGGAACUGAGACACGGUCCAGACUCCUACGGGAGGCAGCAGUGGGGAAUUUUGGACAAUGGGCGCAAGCCUGAUCCAGCAAUGCCGCGUGAGUGAAGAAGGCCUUCGGGUUGUAAAGCUCUUUUUCAGGGAAGAAACGGCUGGGGCUAAUAUCCUUUGCUAAUGACGG
This 418-nucleotide ribosomal RNA is filed under the name uncultured bacterium. Its description in RNAcentral is "bacterial SSU rRNA". It matches the Rfam family "Bacterial small subunit ribosomal RNA", at positions 60 to 475 of the family's 1533-position model. The record is from RNAcentral.